UCGGAGCUACGGCAGGGGCAGGGGUCGAGGCAGGGGUCGGAACUUCCGUGGGCGUGGAAGAGGAGGGUAUGGUGGUGCUCUGGACACUCAGCAAGAUGCUGGUGGCUACAUCCAAGAAGCACCUGUUCAGGGCCGAGGCCGUGGACGUGGCAGGGGACCUCGUGGCAGGGGACGUGGAUUCAGACCUAAUGGGCCACCAAUCCAUGUUGCUGCUUAGUUGGUCAAACUUGGAAGCAACACAGAGAUUAUGUUCUAUGAGUGCCUGCUCCUUUUUUUUCAACGUUUUUCUUUCAUUUGUUCGUAUUAACUUUAGGUUAUUUUGAUAAUGUAAUCAGUGUAGACUAGCAUUAGAACUCAGUACCACCCUCCUUGUGGUGAGCAUUUUUGUUUUCCUUAAGAUCUUUCAUGUUUUUUCAAGUAGGUUAGGUGUUUGAUCAAGUGUAAUUUCAAUAGCGAGCAGCACAUUCUUUUAUAUGUUUGUCAGGUAUUCAGUGUUGACUUCAUUCCCAAGGACUGCCAAUAAUACCCUGUUUACUGUA
Nicotiana tabacum (common tobacco) is the source of this 539-nucleotide non-coding RNA. The record is from RefSeq and is a predicted model, not a curated record. Lineage: Eukaryota; Viridiplantae; Streptophyta; Magnoliopsida; Solanales; Solanaceae.